UACGUAGGGUGCAAGCGUUGUCCGGAAUUAUUGGGCGUAAAGAGCUCGUAGGCGGUCUGUCGCGUCGGAUGUGAAAAUCCAGGGCUCAACCCUGGACCUGCAUUCGAUACGGGCAGACUAGAGUUCGGUAGGGGAGACUGGAAUUCCUGGUGUAGCGGUGAAAUGCGCAGAUAUCAGGAGGAACACCGGUGGCGAAGGCGGUUCUCUGGGCCUUACCUGACGCUGAGGAGCGAAAGCGUGGGGAGCAAACAGG
This 253-nucleotide ribosomal RNA is filed under the name uncultured bacterium. Its description in RNAcentral is "partial 16S ribosomal RNA". It matches the Rfam family "Bacterial small subunit ribosomal RNA", at positions 524 to 776 of the family's 1533-position model. The record is from RNAcentral.